CUUUCUGGGAACUGUUUGCUCUGUUCCUCCUAACCUUCGUCUUGUUUUGAGUUUAACCAAAGCUGGUUAAGAGACGUGAGGAACAUUUUGCAUUUAAUUUGAUGUGUUGGAGCUGCCUCCUGGAGGAGAGUUUGACAACAUUCCCUGGGUUUCGUGGUCCUCAGAGGUUUUCUGUAGGAGUUGCAGGCUGUGCUAGCACCACUUAUAGGACGAGCUUUGUUACAAGCUGUGCGCUUGUCUGUGCGCCGGCUUGCUGCAGGGAGUUUGUCCUGAUCAUCCAGAAAGAUCACUUGGCAGUAGAGCGCAGAAGCUGAGCCCCAUGAACAAAGCAGCUGAUAUCAUGAGGAAACUGGAGGUGUAGAAGACAUAGUGGAAAUCAUUGGUUAUAUCCACCAGGAGACCUGAAAUGGAAACCACAGCUAGGUCAAAGAGGAGAUGCAUACUAAAGACAACUGUAUGGCAUUCACAGAAACAUUAGACCUAAAAAAUUCAGCAAACUGCCAUAUACAAAAGAUAAGCAUUCACAGAUGAGUUAAGUUCUCUUUUCCAGAUUCUAGAGCCUGUUUGCAGUCACCACUUAGGUGGUGUUUCUACUUCCAUAUAUAAAGUAUUUCCCAGUAAACAGAGAAAUCAGGAAAGAAAGGAAAUCGUAACUUUUUCCCAACCUGCUGAUUCACUUUGUUUACUCAGCAGAGGACCCCUGUGCCAGUUGCUGGAUUUUGGAAUGACUGACCCUGUUACAUUCCAGGUCAGAAAACAGAACAAAUAAAGAAAUGGGAUUUUUUUU
Long non-coding RNA from Oxyura jamaicensis (ruddy duck), 787 nucleotides. RefSeq lists it as uncharacterized. The transcript has 2 exons. NCBI's taxonomy places the organism in Eukaryota, Metazoa, Chordata, Aves, Anseriformes, Anatidae. The record is from RefSeq and is a predicted model, not a curated record.